Non-coding RNA from Castor canadensis (American beaver), 1294 nucleotides. NCBI's taxonomy places the organism in Eukaryota, Metazoa, Chordata, Mammalia, Rodentia, Castoridae. The record is from RefSeq and is a predicted model, not a curated record.
AAAGCCUUUGUCCCGGAGCGGUAGAGCCACGGAAUCGGCGGCGGGGAACCGCGUGACCGGCAGCUGGACAUGACUUUCAAGGCCGGAUCCCUGUUGGGGCCCUUCGGUAGAUCGGCGGCGCUGUUGGGGGGCAGGUGGCUGCAGCCCCGGCUCUGGCUGGGGCUCCCGGACGCCUGCGGCCUCGGCGCUCCGCAGCAGGCCCGCGGCAAGGCCCGCGGGAACGAGUACCAGCCGAGCAACGUGAAGCGCAAGCACAAGCACGGCUGGGUCCGGCGCCUGAGCACGGCGGCCGGCGUCCAGGUCGUCCUGCGCCGCAUGCUCAAGGGCCGCAAGUCCCUGACCCACUGAGCUGCGACCCUCGCCCGGCUCGUCGUGCUGGUGCGGGGAGCUGGGGAGCACCCCGAAGUGUGCAGAAGUUCGGGGGGGACCGCAAGGGGCAGCAACGCCUCUUAGGCUGUGGACACACGCAGUGGUCCCCCCGUCCCUCGCGCGUGCUGACCUCCUCCCGGGCUAUUUUCAAGCAGAAGUCAGGCAUCACGUUAUUUCUUCUGUGAAUGUUUCAAAAAUGCAUCGCUCCAAGAUAAGGGCUCUUUAAAACAGUCACAAGACAUCAUCCUCCAACGUGAAUAAUUUGCAAGUAACACUCCGACAGGGACCACACCCCAUCACUGGACCCUACAUUCAACACUGGUCUUCAAUUUGGGUGAGUUUUCCCCUUUUCCGGGUUUCUCUCAUACUGCCUGUCAGAGUCCAGGACUCUCUCUGAAGCCCUGGCCAAGCGAGAGAUUCCCUCCGUCCACCAAGUAGGUGGACUCAAGCUGAUAAUUUCUGAGGACACAGAAAAAAUCCAGGUGCCCUGCCCCAGAGGCAUAGAUAGCAUCUAGUCCUCUGAUGCAUCCAUCUGUCUUACCAGGUAGGACCACUGUAGGGAUUAUCAUCGCCUUUUCCACAAAAAUGGGCCAGAAAUCGUCCAAGCCUGCAAGGGAGAGGGGGGUAUGACCCUAACAUGGCGGUCCUUAUGUUCACCCUAACACCCGCUGUGCUGCUGUUGGAAUAAUGCUUGGUUGCGUCCAAUCAUCGAGCACUUGCUGUGUACUUGGGGACCCAUCCCUGAUCUGCGGCGACCUCCGUCUGGCAGGGAAAGUGGAUUCGUACCCAGAUUCGGGCUGAGAGGGGGAUUGUGAGGGCUCCCGACUUGACCAUGACAAGAAUGCAGUCAAGGUGGGCUUCCUUGAGGAAGAGGCAGGGUCUGGGAGGAGAGAUUGGGUAGGAUUACAUGGGGAGCUGGAGGGGC